GACGAACGCUGGCGGCGUGCUUAACACAUGCAAGUCGAACGGGAUUUAGUAGACAGAAGCCUCGGCUAAAGAUUACUAAUGAGAGUGGCGAACGGGUGAGUAACGCGUGAGCAACCUGCCUAUGACAGUGGGAUAGCCUCGGGAAACCGGGAUUAAUACCGCAUAAAAUCGUAGAAACACAUGUUUUAACGGUCAAAGAUUUAUCGGUCAUAGAUGGGCUCGCGUCUGAUUAGCUAGUUGGUGAGAUAACAGCCCACCAAGGCGACGAUCAGUAGCCGGUCUGAGAGGAUGAACGGCCACAGUGGAACUGAGACACGGUCCAAACUCCUACGGGAGGCAGCAGUGGGGAAUAUUGCACAAUGGGGGAAACCCUGAUGCAGCGACGCCGCGUGAACGAAGAAGGUAUUCGUAUCGUAAAGUUCUGUCCUAUGGGAAGAUAAUGACAGUACCAUAGAAGAAAGCUCCGGCUAAAUACGUG
RNAcentral lists this ribosomal RNA (478 nucleotides) under uncultured bacterium. RNAcentral's name for it is "partial 16S ribosomal RNA". It matches the Rfam family "Bacterial small subunit ribosomal RNA", at positions 28 to 507 of the family's 1533-position model. The record is from RNAcentral.